Molecule: ribosomal RNA, 503 nt
Filed under: uncultured bacterium
Lineage: Bacteria
Description: partial 16S ribosomal RNA
Rfam family: Bacterial small subunit ribosomal RNA
Source: RNAcentral
AUUGAACGCUGGCGGCAGGCUUAACACAUGCAAGUCGAGCGGGGUGAUGGUGCUUGCACUAUCACUUAGCGGCGGACGGGUGAGUAAUGCUUAGGAAUCUGCCUAUUAGUGGGGGACAACAUCUCGAAAGGGAUGCUAAUACCGCAUACGUCCUACGGGAGAAAGCAGGGGAUCACUUGUGACCUUGAGCUAAUAGAUGAGCCUAAGUCGGAUUAGCUAGUUGGUGGGGUGAAGGCCUACGAAGGCGACGAUCUGUAGCGGGUCGGAGAGGAUGGUCGGCCACACUGGGACUGAGACACGGGCCAGACGCCUACGGGAGGCAGCAGUGGGGAAUAUUGGACAAGGGGGGGAACCCUGAUCCAGCCAUGCCGCGUGUGUGAAGAAGGCCUUAGGGUUGUAAAGCACUUUAAGCGAGGAGGAGGCUCUUUUGGUUAAUACCCAAGAUGAGUGGACGUUACUCGCAGAAUAAGCACCGGCUAACUCUGUGCCAGCAGCCGCCGUAA